This 253-nucleotide ribosomal RNA is filed under the name uncultured bacterium. RNAcentral describes it as "partial 16S ribosomal RNA". It matches the Rfam family "Bacterial small subunit ribosomal RNA", at positions 524 to 776 of the family's 1533-position model. The record is from RNAcentral.
GACGAACCACCCAAACGUUAUUCGGAAUUACUGGGCUUAAAGGGUGCGUAGGCGGCGCGGAAAGUCAGGUGUGAAAUCCCUCGGCUCAACCGAGGAACUGCGCUUGAAACUACCGUGCUCGAGUGAGACAGAGGUAAGCGGAACUUCGGGUGGAGCGGUGAAAUGCGUUGAUAUCCGAAGGAACACCAGUGGCGAAAGCGGCUUACUGGGUCUUUUCUGACGCUGAUGCACGAAAGCUAGGGGAGCAAACAGG